RNAcentral lists this ribosomal RNA (1371 nucleotides) under uncultured bacterium. RNAcentral describes it as "bacterial SSU rRNA". It matches the Rfam family "Bacterial small subunit ribosomal RNA", at positions 28 to 1381 of the family's 1533-position model. The record is from RNAcentral.
GAUGAACGCUGGCGGCGUGCCUAAUACAUGCAAGUCGAGCGAACGGACGAGAAGCUUGCUUCUCUGAUGUUAGCGGCGGAUGGGUGAGUAACACGUGGAUAACCUACCUAUAAGACUGGGAUAACUUCGGGAAACCGGAGCUAAUACCGGAUAAUAUUUUGAACCGCAUGGUUCAAAAGUAAAAGACGGUCUUGCUGUCACUUAUAGAUGGAUCCGCGCUGCAUUAGCUAGUUGGUAAGGUAACGGCUUACCAAGGCAACGAUGCAUAGCCGACCUGAGAGGGUGAUCGGCCACACUGGAACUGAGACACGGUCCAGACUCCUACGGGAGGCAGCAGUAGGGAAUCUUCCGCAAUGGGCGAAAGCCUGACGGAGCAACGCCGCGUGAGUGAUGAAGGUCUUCGGAUCGUAAAACUCUGUUAUUAGGGAAGAACAUAUGUGUAAGUAACUGUGCACAUCUUGACGGUACCUAAUCAGAAAGCCACGGCUAACUACGUGCCAGCAGCCGCGGUAAUACGUAGGUGGCAAGCGUUAUCCGGAAUUAUUGGGCGUAAAGCGCGCGUAGGCGGUUUUUUAGUCUGAUGUGAAAGCCCACGGCUCAACCGUGGAGGGUCAUUGGAAACUGGAAAACUUGAGUGCAGAAGAGGAAAGUGGAAUUCCAUGUGUAGCGGUGAAAUGCGCAGAGAUAUGGAGGAACACCAGUGGCGAAGGCGACUUUCUGGUCUGUAACUGACGCUGAUGUGCGAAAGCGUGGGGAUCAAACAGGAUUAGAUACCCUGGUAGUCCACGCCGUAAACGAUGAGUGCUAAGUGUUAGGGGGUUUCCGCCCCUUAGUGCUGCAGCUAACGCAUUAAGCACUCCGCCUGGGGAGUACGACCGCAAGGUUGAAACUCAAAGGAAUUGACGGGGACCCGCACAAGCGGUGGAGCAUGUGGUUUAAUUCGAAGCAACGCGAAGAACCUUACCAAAUCUUGACAUCCUUUGACAACUCUAGAGAUAGAGCCUUCCCCUUCGGGGGACAAAGUGACAGGUGGUGCAUGGUUGUCGUCAGCUCGUGUCGUGAGAUGUUGGGUUAAGUCCCGCAACGAGCGCAACCCUUAAGCUUAGUUGCCAUCAUUAAGUUGGGCACUCUAAGUUGACUGCCGGUGACAAACCGGAGGAAGGUGGGGAUGACGUCAAAUCAUCAUGCCCCUUAUGAUUUGGGCUACACACGUGCUACAAUGGACAAUACAAAGGGCAGCGAAACCGCGAGGUCAAGCAAAUCCCAUAAAGUUGUUCUCAGUUCGGAUUGUAGUCUGCAACUCGACUACAUGAAGCUGGAAUCGCUAGUAAUCGUAGAUCAGCAUGCUACGGUGAAUACGUUCCCGGGUCU